RNA transcript from Biomphalaria glabrata, 5403 nucleotides. RefSeq lists it as uncharacterized. The record is from RefSeq and is a predicted model, not a curated record. The transcript has 14 exons. Lineage: Eukaryota; Metazoa; Mollusca; Gastropoda; Planorbidae.
UUUUUACCUUGAGAAUUCUUCAAAUUUUAAUUUUCACAAAGAAGAAAAAUAUAUCAAAUAAUCUAAUCUAGCGCUACACAAUGUAUAGAUUCUAGAUCUAGUUUAUAGAUCUAGAUCUAGCUAGACUAUUAAAUGAUUACUUCAAGGACAAAAGAGCUCUAUUAAUAUUGAAUAUUAUUCUAUUUAUUGACAACAUUGUAAAAGUAUUUCAAAUAAAUGUCGGACUCGUCAAGCAAUUUCAAUGCUGCAUGGCCGCCUCCACAUUUUGUUACUCCACCUCAGAAUUUGCUAAAUCCAUCUCCAAACAGAUGUUUGAUACAAACUCAAUGUCCACCAAAUGCAAUCUUCGGCUUUGCAGACUUUGCAUUUGAGCCGCCAUAUGCAUAUAUGCCACUACACCUAGCAAGGCCACAGCCUCAGGUCAGACAAACACUUCUAGCCCCAGGGCCCCCGUCAUCUAAUAUGGAAAAAAACCAAGUUCCAGGUAGAGCCAUACCAGAAGAUCAGAAAUGCAAGAAGCCAAGGAUCAGGUUGGAAGAAGUUACUGAUGUUGAGAGCGUCACUGAAAGGUUUUGUAAAAUUGCUAUGAACCAUGGCUUGACUGUUGCCAUAACAACCGAGCAGAAAGUCAGUAAUGAAGUGAAUGUCAGUAAGGAGCUAGUUGUUGUCAAAGAAAAUGAGAAAAAAACUGAUUCGUCUGGUUUGUUGGAGUCGUUACAAGGGAAAUCUGAGGCUACAGCUCCGAAGGAGUCUCCUGAUGUAGUUGUCAGCUCUACUGACAAGGCUAAUGAAGCCCAGUCUGAUGAUUUAGCAGAGAAUGUGGAAUUCUUGUCUCUGACUGCUGAAACAUCAAAAAUGAACCUACUGAAUCCAGACAUCCCCGAAUUCAUUCCCUGCAGCCCAUCUAAAACUGAGAAUGUGAAAGCCAGUAAGACUAUAGAAGCCACUUGGGUGAAGUGCGAGGACACUGCACCCAAAAAGAGAGCCUUAAAUGUUCCAGGGUGUGUGACUCUAAAGCUUCCGCCCCGGCCUGCUUUAUUUGGAACCAAGUCCUCUGCCGAUGCUCAAGUUCAAACUGUGGUGUCAUUUUUUGAAUCUGAAUUAAAUGAAACAUCCAACAAUAAAGUCCAGGCUAGCCCACCACUUAGAGAAACCUCUGAUGCUACAGUCCAGUCUGAUUCAUCUUUUCUAUCUGUUAAAGAAAUGUUGGAUGCUCAUGUGCAGGUGAGCCCAGUGCCGAAAGAAACAUCUGAGGCCUGUAUACAGUCAGACUUAUCAUGGUCAUCUGUCAAAGAAACUAGUAAUGCAGAAAUACAGACAUGUGAUACAGAAACUGGACCAAACCUUUGUGAGGAAUGCAAGAAAAUCAUCAUUGCCUCUGACCAGCGAAGCACGACUCAGCUUUUAAAGAAGGUUACCCCUGAACACAAACUCAAGUUUACAGCCAGACUGGCAGCACGCAUGGUUAGAGAUUCCCCUGAUUGGUUGGAUAAGCCUGUUGACUUACAGGAAGUGCUUAUGGAAAAGCUGUUUGCCUUUUGUGGUCGCAUGGAAUUGGAGUGUGACAGUAAAGAAGAUAGUCUCACCUGUCAAGUUGCGAUACAGCUUUUAAAUGAGAAUUCUAAACUUGCCAGUCUGAAAAAAAGUGAAGAGUUUUUUCAGUGCUUGAAAACUGAUGUGGGACAUCAACUAGAGAUUGUCCAUUCCAUCAUACUGGAUGAUUACAUGAAAAGAAAGAGGGGCAGUGAUAAAGAAAUAAAUGUGAAUACAGUAGAAACUCAAACAGUCUCUUUGGUUGAGGUAGAACACCAUGAAUGUGACCAAUCUAGUUUAGUCCCACUCACUAUCGCUCCACAAGCUACAAGUGUGAGUGUGUUGGUAGUUACCUGCCAAAACACCACCCCUGCACUUUCUGUGCUCAACACCUCAGUGAUUUCCUCUGUCGGAUUAUGUGUAGCACCCGCUGCCUUGGACUCAUCCCCACAGCAGCCUAGCAUUGUCACAUGUGUUCACCCUUCGAAUGAAACUUCAAUCACAUGUGCUCACCCUUCGAAUGAAACUUCAAUCACAUGUGUUCACCCUUCGAAUGAAACUUGUGAGCCUCUGAAUAGCAUUCCAUUUUCAAGUGCUGGUCUAAUUCCUUCAUUUCAGAACUCUUUUAAAAGCUUCUCAGUCCUACCAAAGAAACAGAUCUCUGGAGGUUCUUUUGAAGUUCAAGCCAAGAGCUUGACUAACUUUCCAAGUGCCUUUGGUUCCCAAAGCAGCACUACCAUCCAUGAUAACCUUUGUCCUGAUCAUACAGCCCCAAAUCUUUCCCCUAGCCCUCAGGAGAAAACAUCUUUGGCGUCUUCAGCUACCACAUCAAGGAAACCCUUUGAUGCAACAAUCAAAGACAUACUUAAUAAAAUCAAUAACCUAGACUACGCUCGGGAUUCCUUGAAACCGAUAGAGAAAAAAACCCAAAUGGAUGCAGUUUCUUCCAUCGCCAGCACAACUAAGUUGGUGGAUCCAAUCAGAGGCGCACAUAGUCUGAUCAUGAACCCUCCUAUAGGAGUGGAUGCCUUAAGAAAUGGCAGCAGACCAUCAUCUGUCAUGGUUGUACCACAAAUAAUAGUGUCAGCAUCUGAGUUUGAUAGGAAUUCUGCCAUGGGCUCUCAAGAAGCUAAGGUUUUCAAUCCUUUCAGGGUCUACAAUGGUCCAGUUAAUAGGGCACCCUUGACUGGUCUUGGUUCUAAUCCUGCUCCUGUAAACGUUUCAACUAACUCAAGUAACCAGUCCUCAAAAAAAAGUCUUGCUAGUUCAAUCACAAGCAACCAAAUUCAAAGCAAUACUUCCCCUGAAACUGGGCUAUCAGCUUUAGAUCAAUAUUUAUUUGAGUCAAAUUCAGUUGGGAGUCAGUCUGACAGUUCCUGCUCGAUCUUUAGCUAUGCAGAUAAAAGUGUCUCAAAAUCCUCAAUAUUGAGCUUAAAAAAGAGGCCGCGACCAAUUGAUUUGAGGCGAAAGCAAACUAAUAAGCCAGCUUCUGGUGCACAACCUUUGGAAGUGAUUCACUCCUCAGAGUCUGUCUACAAACCGAAAAAAGAAAUUGAUUGGUGGCUGGCAAACAUGGAGAAUGUCAACAUGCUGAAUGAGCAGUCUUGUCCACCUGUCACUGUUGGGCAGAAAGAAACGCAGAUCAACAAAGCAAUGUCAGUCACCAGUAAAGGUGAAAAAACUAGACAGAAUAUAUACUUGACUCCUAUGCAAAGAAAGAGAAAGAGCUUAAUGUCUCUGGAGUCAAAAAGUUCUACUAAUCCUGGAAAUGAAACCAAUCCAAACUCCAUGCAAGUUUCAAGUUCUCAUUUUGUCAGAUCUGUGGCUCAAAGUGUUCCAAGCAAUUCAUAUUCUUCUUCAUCAAUGCUUUCUUGUGCACCGCAGUCUUUUCCUGGUUAUGUCCAUUCUUCAAUAGGAGACCAAACUUUUGUUCCAUCAAGAAGUGUUUAUGACAUGGCAACCGGCCAACCUAGUAAGACACUAAGUCUGUCAGAAAAGGCAUGGUCCCCACAAAAAUUAUUUGGUGAUACAUAUUCAACUAUAUACCAAACUUCAAUUUCGAAAACUUCAUUAAGCAAUGACAAAGCAUGGGUCUCUCAAAGCUUAACUGGCAAUGCAUAUUCCUCAUCAGCAGGCCAAAAUUCCAUUCCAUCCCUCAUAAAUUUAUCAAUCCAACCGCAAGUUCCAUCACUCCUAAAUUUAUCAAGUCAAACAUCGAUUCCAUCUCUCCUAAAUACAUCAAGUCAAACAUCAAUUCCAUCUCUCCUAAAUACAUCCAGUGUGACACAUGGCACAGCAUCUGUCCAGACUAGCAAGCCACUUAGUUUAAAAGAAAAGGCAUGGCUCCCUCAUAGUUUAUCUUCUAAUUUAAACUCGUAUGAACAAUCCGGCAAUCCAUCAAGCCUUGUGGGCAACACAGAAAGCUCGGCUAGCAAAGACUGUUCUGCAGCAGUAGUUGGGAAAUUAGCCAAGACACAAAAUCAAAAAACAAAUGUCUUUGCUGAGAGGUAUCAGUUACCCACCUCUUGGUCGAACCUCUUUACUACACCAACCAAUUCUGCUGGGGCCAAUCCUAUUUCUGAUUUAUUUUCAAAUCUUGCCACACAAAGUGAACGGUAUGACCUUUCCGUCCCACACAGCUUGUCAGAAAAGCCAGAAACUUGCCAAAAAUCGACUGAUAAGGUUCUCUAUUAUGACAGCCUUGACACAUUUUCUGAUAGCUUGGUUCAAUGCCGGGACUUUGAGAGAGCCAUUAAGUGCCCUAAUGUCUUCGCCAUUGAUUCAUUGAGUGAUUUCCCAUCUUGCAACAGAAAUCAGUACCAGGCAAAUAGUGUUGCAGAACUGGAGGAUAAAGAAAUAAAAGACCCAAUCCCCUGGAAAAGUGGCAAGAGUGACACAGAGAGGACUAGCUGCUAUGGCCUGGAUGAAAUCAGCUUGACAGAUGAGAAAGGUGUUCUAAGAAGCCAGAAACUUGCUUGUGAAGAGGAAACUUGGAUAAAGGUAUCAGGUCAAAAAGAAGAUUCUGUGGAUGAUCAAUUGAUUGAUUUUCGCUUGCAAGAAAAAUAUUCUAAUCUAAUCAAGGUCAUACUUGGCGCUCAUGAAGGUCUGACCAGAGAAGAAGCAAAGACAGCUCUAGAGCUUGUAUACAUUAACACAGACUUCUUGAAGGGCAUGCGUCAGCCACAAAUUCUAGAACAAGUCAGCAUUGCUCUUCAGGAGCUUUAUCCUGAGAAAAUGAAGGAAAAUGCAAACACUAAAGAGGACAAAGAAAUGAUGCAGAGGUUCACUACUGUGAAAACAAACUUGGAUUCUGCCAAGCCACCCACUGGCAAAGCCAAAUCUGUCAAGAAAGUCAAGCGAGCCAAGCUGAGUGAAGGGGCGGGCGGCAAAUGUGAUACUCAGGGAAGCAAAGAAAGUCGCAGAGACAGCAACGACAGCAGAUGCGAUGGAUCUGCUGCAGAAGAGAGCUCAUCCAAGGGUGAGGGCAGAGAUGAGCCAACAAGGCACAAGGAGCCUGAAGUCAACAUGAGCUCCAGUUUUAGCAGUGAUACUGGUAAUACCACUUAUACUUACAACCCUGCUGAUAGACGUUUUAGUCAGUGGGGAACAAAGCCUUCAGCCUCGAAAGAAGCUAAUUGCAGGGUUAUGUGAAGACCUAUUUUUGAACUGUUCUAUGAGGUGCCAUUUUAUCUCACUUUUUUUUUUUGAAUUGCUGUUUUUCUAGAUUCAGAGUCGGUUAACUCAACAGAGAGAAACCUGAGUGAACUGGACUAACAGCAGGACUUUUAGGCACAUAAGUAGUGCUCUCCCUUACCAGCCAAAUUAAUUGUGCCACUCAGACAUUGCUGUUAUUUUUUUUUUUUUUUUUUU